CCUACGGGAGGCAGCAGUGGGGAAUCUUGCGCAAUGGGCGAAAGCCUGACGCAGCAACGCCGCGUGCGGGAAGAAGGCUCUCGGGUUGUAAACCGCUUUCAGCAGGAACGAAAAUGACGGUACUUGCAGAAGAAGGUGCGGCCAACUACGUGCCAGCAGUCGCGGUGACACGUAGGCACCAAGCGUUGUCCGGAUUUAUUGGGCGUAAAGAGCUCGUAGGCGGUUCGGUAAGUCAGGUGUGAAAACUUUGGGCUCAACCCAAAGCCUGCAUCUGAUACUGCUGUGACUAGAGUUCGGUAGGGGAGCGGGGAAUUCCUAGUGUAGCGGUGAAAUGCGCAGAUAUUAGGAGGAACACCGGUGGCGAAGGCGCCGCUCUGGGCCGAAACUGACGCUGAGGGGCGAAAGCGUGGGUAGCAAACAGGAUUAGAUACCCUGGUAGUCCACGCCGUAAACGUUGGGCACUAGGUGUGGGUUUACACCAACGAAAUCCGCGCCGUCGCUAACGCAUUAAGUGCCCGCCUGGGGAGUACGCGCAGUAACGUACGAAGAGUAGAGNGNGAGAAGUGCGAGCGACGACGAGGAGNGG
Molecule: ribosomal RNA, 586 nt
Filed under: uncultured bacterium
Lineage: Bacteria
Description: bacterial SSU rRNA
Rfam family: Bacterial small subunit ribosomal RNA (bases 1-520)
Source: RNAcentral